Long non-coding RNA from Penaeus vannamei (Pacific white shrimp), 269 nucleotides. RefSeq lists it as uncharacterized. The record is from RefSeq and is a predicted model, not a curated record. NCBI's taxonomy places the organism in Eukaryota, Metazoa, Arthropoda, Malacostraca, Decapoda, Penaeidae.
AUUAGUCUAUGGUACAUGUUUAUGCUGAAACUAUUAGUUACAUCAUUUAAUGCUUGGGACUCCUCUGUUUUGGGGCCUUUCGUUUAGGGGGCACUGUACUGGCUGUGUUUGACUGGAUACUAAAUCUCUGCACUACAAGGCAGUCUGGCCAGCUAUAACUUUUGAUUGGUCUAGGAAUCCAAGGAGAGAGAAGACUAAUGUAACCAUAGAUUUAAGGAGUGAUAUUGUAACAUCCUCCUAGGGUCAUCUACUAUAAAGAAAAGUUCUCA